RNAcentral lists this non-coding RNA (139 nucleotides) under Fibrocapsa japonica. The record is from RNAcentral. Lineage: Eukaryota; Raphidophyceae; Chattonellales; Chattonellaceae.
AAAAAUCACAAACGAAUAAAAUAAAUUAAAUAUAAAUACCCAAGUUGUAUUUAGUUUAUAUAUAUUUAUUAUUAUUUAUUUUUACCGCUAGUCAAUAGCGCUCAUAUUUCGUGUAUUCACUAUCGUGUAAUUACAGCCA